UGGUUAUUCAAGGAAGUGAACAAUUCGUAGUCGACGUUGAUGAAUGGGCAACAAAGGCACUUCAGAAUGAACUGCUCUGAAAUGUAUACAGGGGUUAAUCCUAUGAGUGCAAGGCUCACCCCAAGAGAAGAAAUAUAGUUUAGUGUAUUCAGAGGCACUUGAGUUGAUGUUUAAAACUGCAAGGAUGGGAAGUUAUGCUAUUGGAAAUGAUAAUGGUACUCUGACCGCCACAAAGUCUGCGACAGUCUGGUGCUAUGGAAACAAGAAGAGGGCAUUUUAGGGAGGGUAGUUUCGAUGAUAGCUUGUAUGGGAAGUAUACCAGAUUAGCUAACUCAGCCACCAGUAGGAGACUUAUGUAAUCUGAUUCAAGAACUUUUUUAAAGAUUCGAGUGAAUAUUUCUUUCUUA
Parasteatoda tepidariorum (common house spider) is the source of this 407-nucleotide non-coding RNA. NCBI's taxonomy places the organism in Eukaryota, Metazoa, Arthropoda, Arachnida, Araneae, Theridiidae. The record is from RefSeq and is a predicted model, not a curated record.